Molecule: ribosomal RNA, 496 nt
Filed under: uncultured bacterium
Lineage: Bacteria
Description: partial 16S ribosomal RNA
Rfam family: Bacterial small subunit ribosomal RNA
Source: RNAcentral
GAUGAACGCUGGCGGCGUGCCUAAUACAUGCAAGUCGAGCGAACGGACGAGAAGCUUGCUUUUCUGAUGUUAGCGGCGGACGGGUGAGUAACACGUGGAUAACCUACCUAUAAGACUGGGAUAACUUCGGGAAACCGGAGCUAAUACCGGAUAUAUUUUGAACCGCAUGGUUCAAAAGUGAAAGACGGUCUUGCUGUCACUUAUAGAUGGAUCCGCGCUGCAUUAGCUAGUUGGUAAGGUAACGGCUUACCAAGGCAACGAUGCAUAGCCGACCUGAGAGGGUGAUCGGCCACACUGGAACUGAGACACGGUCCAGACUCCUACGGGAGGCAGCAGUAGGGAAUCUUCCGCAAUGGGCGAAAGCCUGACGGAGCAACGCCGCGUGAGUGAUGAAGGUCUUCGGAUCGUAAAACUCUGUUAUUAGGGAAGAACAUAUGUGUAAGUAACUGUGCACAUCUUGACGGUACCUAAUCAGAAAGCCACGGCUAACUACGUG